This 253-nucleotide ribosomal RNA is filed under the name uncultured bacterium. RNAcentral's name for it is "partial 16S ribosomal RNA". It matches the Rfam family "Bacterial small subunit ribosomal RNA", at positions 524 to 776 of the family's 1533-position model. The record is from RNAcentral.
UACGGAGGGUGCGAGCGUUGUCCGGAAUCACUGGGCGUAAAGGGCGCGUAGGCGGCAUGCCAAGCGUGUGGUGAAAGCCCGGGGCUCAACCCCGGGUCGGCCGUGCGGACUGGCGUGCUCGAGCACUGUAGGGGCGGGUGGAAUUCCGGGUGUAGCGGUGGAAUGCGUAGAGAUCCGGAAGAACACCGGUGGCGAAGGCGGCCUGCUGGGCAGUGGCUGACACUGAGGCGCGACAGCGUGGGGAGCAAACAGG